AUGGAUGCAGACGGAGCAGGGAGGGCCCCCGUCUUCCCGGUGCCGCAGCAGCAGGCCCCGUCGUCCACGACGCCGCUGGCACCCUACUACUACUACUCGUCAUCGUCUUCUCCGGCGACGCCGUCCCGCCUGACGCACCACGUGACGCUGAGCCUCACCAGCCUGCCCAUCCUGGUGCUCACCGUGCUCGGCAUCCUCACCACCUCCGCGCUCCUCCUCACCUACUACGUCUUCGUCAUCCGCUGCUGCCUCACCUGGCACGCCACCGCCUCCGACUCCUCCACCCCCAACUCCGGCGCGCCCAGAAGCCUCGUCAUCUCCCUCACCCGCCGCCGCCCUCGCCGCAGCAACACCCCCUCCGAACACGAGCUCCCCGUGGUGCACGGGCCGGCGCCCGACGAGCCACGCGCCGGGCUCGGGGAGCCGGCCAUCCGGGCGCUGCCGGCGUUCAGGUACAGCAAGGCCGCCAAGGACGACGCAAGCGAGUGCGCCGUGUGCCUCGGCGAGUUCCAGGAGGGGGAGCGGGUGAGGCUCCUGCCGGGCUGCCUCCAUGUCUUCCACGCGGAGUGCAUCGACACUUGGCUCCACGGCUGCGCCAGCUGCCCGCUCUGCCGGGCAGCCAUCACCGCCACCACCGGCAAACAAGCUCCGUUAACAAUGGACCGGCCGCGGAGAGGGGAGGAGGUGGUCAUCCAGGUGCAGGUCGCCGGCACCGGAGAAGAGGAAGACACACUGACACCGCAGCAAGAAGACGGCGCCGUGGCCUCGAAGAGCGGCACUCGCUUCCAUGGGGAAUGCAGCGGCGGCGGCAGCAGCAAUGAAGCACAUUGUAGUAGGUAG
Molecule: ribosomal RNA, 840 nt
Filed under: Triticum aestivum (bread wheat)
Lineage: Eukaryota; Viridiplantae; Streptophyta; Magnoliopsida; Poales; Poaceae
Description: partial small subunit ribosomal RNA
Source: RNAcentral